RNAcentral lists this unclassified non-coding RNA (3209 nucleotides) under Portunus trituberculatus (swimming crab). RNAcentral describes it as "carboxypeptidase D-like, transcript variant X4". Lineage: Eukaryota; Metazoa; Arthropoda; Malacostraca; Decapoda; Portunidae. The record is from RNAcentral.
CAGAACCGAAACCUUCCAACCAGUUGCUGUCGAGCGGCGGUGAGGGGAGGUUGCCCGCCGCCCCUCUCCCCUCACUCACUCGGUGCUUGUAGGGAAUAGUCACCGUCAUAGCUUAUCUUGCCCUGUGCCCGCUAGUGACCGGUCCUGUGGGUUCCUGCCUGGGCAGCGGUGAGCCUCAUGCCUGGAGGGAGGAGCGGCGGCCUGCAGAGAGUAGAGUUGCACGUGAGGCCAAACUAGAGGCGGAUUGGGUGGCUAGCACUGUUAAAGUGGGUGUGCCAACAGCUCUCGGCCUUCCCUCCCACUCUCUCUCUCUCUCUCUCUCUCUCUCUCUGACUCAAACAGCACGCCUCCUCUGUUACCAACUUACCAAGGUGUGCUUCGUGUCCAUGCAGCCGUAACAUCCAGGUUAAUUAAUCUACGUGCACGUCCGAUAAGGCAGGGCUGGAACGCUCACAGGACGAGUUGCUGCUCUUUAGAUGAUCAAGAUUUGUAGAACGACAGACAUGGAAACUAGCAACGAGGAAACGGAUGCCGAGGAGGAGGACAAGAGGCGUUGGUGCAGAAAGAUGAAGCCAGCAAUGUGGUACUUGAUGAUGAUCGUCGUGGGUUUCUUUUACGUGUACCUGACGGCCAUCCAGUACAUUAGAGGCCAGACGGUACACGAGCCGCCCUCCAACUACCUGAAGCAAUAUGACCCGCAGUACUUCGACGAGAGCCUCAUCAGCCCCUCCAACACGCUGACGUUCGAGUACCACAACUACACCUCGAUGACCGAUUUUCUGCGGGCCAUGAGCGCCACUUACCCCAACCUGACAGCGCUCUACUCCAUCGGCAAGUCCGUUCAAGGCCGUGACCUCUGGGUGAUGGUGGUGUCGUCCUCGCCCUACCAGCACAUUGUAGGUCAGCCGAAUGUCAAGUACGUGGCCAAUAUGCAUGGGAACGAGGCUAUAGGGAGGGAGAUGCUGCUACAUUUGAUUGAGUACCUCGCCAAAAACUACCAAACAGAUGACUACGUGCGUUGGCUUCUGGAUAACACGAGAAUCCACAUAAUGCCAUCUAUGAACCCUGACGGCUUUGAGGUCGCAAGGGAAGGAACGUGUCAGGGCGGCCAGGGCAGGUACAAUGCCCGAGGGUUCGACCUGAAUCGCAACUUCCCUGACUACUUCAAGCAAAAUAACAAGAAGAGCCAACCCGAAGCAGAGGCCGUGAAACAGUGGAUCUCCAAAAUACAGUUCGUCCUCUCUGCCAACCUUCACGGCGGAGCUCUCGUCGCGUCCUACCCCUUCGACAACUCGCCAAACACUACAAUGGACUGGUUACAACUUCUGCGCAUUUUAAACGAAACACAAGGCAAAGACGGUAGGGAGGAAGUCGAUUUUAAAAGUGUCUUCCAGCAGUUUACAUCAACACCUUCUCUGACGCCGGACGAGGACGUUUUCAAGCACCUGGCUAGCAUUUACUCCUUCAAUCACGGUACAAUGCACUUGGGUUUACCUUGCAAGCCCGGCGCACCUGCCUUCACCAAUGGUACCACGAACGGAGCUGCCUGGUACCCUCUUACAGGUGGGAUGCAGGACUACAACUACGUCUGGCAUGGCUGUAUGGACAUCACUAUUGAAAUGUCCUGCUGCAAAUACCCCAUGGCGAAGGAGCUGUCCAAGUUCUGGGAAGACAAUGAGAAGGCGCUGGUGCAUUACCUUGGCGAGGUGCACAGGGGCGUGCGAGGCUUCGUAACGGACGCUGAGGGCCGCCCCGUGGAAGGAGCCUCGCUUAAAGUGAAGGGGAGGGACGUUGGCUUCCAGACCACAAAGUAUGGCGAGUAUUGGCGUGUCCUGCUGCCCGGACACUACAGUCUUGAGGUGUACGCCAGUGGUUACGACCCAGCUGUGGAGGAGUUUUCUGUAGUGGAGACCAACCCUACACUCCUGAACAUCACUCUGUAUCGUGCCUCGCCCGAGCCAGACGUCCUGCCCAGCGGCCCGAACCUUCACCACGGAGCGCCGCAGCCUCCGCCACCCUCUGCUGCGGUUCCUCAGAGCAAUCCUAGCGCUUCCUGUAUCACUGCCACGCUCGCUUUGGGCGUUGCUGUGCGUUCGCUUUGGUCAUAACAGAGACGAGGACUUAUCGACACCCUUGAGCUGUCACUUCCUUCAACUCUCCUUAUGUUUUGAUGGUUUUAGAGCUGAAGAUAAAUAUUCUUUUGUUAUUUAAUAUGUUGAAAAUAAAAAAACAAUUACAAAUAUAGCUUUCAUGUAUCGGUAAAACUAACAGGGGGCACAGUUUUUUUUUUUUUUUUCUACCUCUAGUCAGUGUAUUCCUUUAUGUACAUAUUUUUGACCACUGACGUUUUAUGAAAAGUCAGACUUACUUGACAUCGAGUGUGCACGUGUGACAAAAUCUUAUCCGUAUAUAUUGCACAACGUGUAUAUAGGUUAAGGUUCCUUCAUAUGACGAACUCUGUUUGCAUUAAGCUAGAUUAUCUUUUAUAUUCUAUUCAACUCGAGUGCUUAGAAAUAUUCAGUAACUAUCAAUCGCCUCCACCACUGAGAAUGCUUUCGAGUUAUCUCUUGCACUAAUAACAAAGAAAAUCAGUUUAAUUUCUUAAUUUCACAAGCGUAAAUUUUAAAUCUAUGUAUGUAGUUGCAUUCUGAACAGAGAUUUAAUUUUUGAAGAUAACAGUUUUAGUAGCAUCGAAAAUGAAUAUCUAUACAAUCAUUUAGAUACUUCCAAAUUACCACACACACAGCUCACACUUUCCGCAGCAGCGAACGCGAAUACUAAGAACAGUGGUCUAUAUAGUCACCUGAACUCAAAUUACUUUCCUUACCUACACGAGUUUAUUUUACUAAUGACUAACACAUCAUCGCAUCAUUCAAGUCAACCCUCAUAUCCUUAACGCCGCUACACACCUGAACGUUGUGUAAAUGCCCGUGACUAGGAUUGCUCACCUGCCCACUCCACCAAGACCCACCUGACGCAGAAAACGGGAAGUGGAGGAUUGCAUGGCGUCUCCACCUACCACUAACCACAACACGGGACCGCGUGAGCCAUAACCGUCGCCCUGGCUUCAUCGGGGGCCCUGGACAGCAGCAAGGCUCGGCUCCCAACAACCAGGGCGUAAUAUCCGGCUUCUUCUCCUCCAUCUCUGACCAGAUAUCCAGUGUCUUCAAGAUGUUCGGCUGAAUGGCUUUUGUCUGUCCCCUUAUAGA